CAGUCGCCGCGGUAAUACGUAGGGUGCAAGCGUUAAUCGGAAUUAUUGGGCGUAAAGAGCUCGUAGGCGGUCUGUCGCGUCUGGUGUGAAAUCCCGAGGCUCAACCUCGGGCUUGCAUCGGGUACGGGCAGACUAGAGUGCGGUAGGGGAGACUGGAAUUCCUGGUGUAGCGGUGGAAUGCGCAGAUAUCAGGAGGAACACCGAUGGCGAAGGCAGGUCUCUGGGCCGCAACUGACGCUGAGGAGCGAAAGCAUGGGGAGCGAACAGGAUUAGAUACCCCUGUAGUCCCUGUCUCUUAUAC
RNAcentral lists this ribosomal RNA (301 nucleotides) under uncultured bacterium. RNAcentral describes it as "partial 16S ribosomal RNA". It matches the Rfam family "Bacterial small subunit ribosomal RNA", at positions 509 to 807 of the family's 1533-position model. The record is from RNAcentral.